RNAcentral lists this ribosomal RNA (302 nucleotides) under uncultured bacterium. RNAcentral's name for it is "partial 16S ribosomal RNA". It matches the Rfam family "Bacterial small subunit ribosomal RNA", at positions 508 to 807 of the family's 1533-position model. The record is from RNAcentral.
GCAGCCGCCGCGGUAAUACAGAGGGUGCGAGCGUUAAUCGGAUUUACUGGGCGUAAAGCGUGCGUAGGCGGCUUCUUAAGUCGGAUGUGAAAUCCCUGAGCUUAACUUAGGAAUUGCAUUCGAUACUGGGAAGCUAGAGUAUGGGAGAGGAUGGUAGAAUUCCAGGUGUAGCGGUGAAAUGCGUAGAGAUCUGGAGGAAUACCGAUGGCGAAGGCAGCCAUCUGGCCUAAUACUGACGCUGAGGUACGAAAGCAUGGGGAGCAAACAGGAUUAGAUACCCCGGUAGUCCCUGUCUCUUAUAC